CCUACGGGAGGCAGCAGUGGGGAAUCUUCCACAAUGGACGAAAGUCUGAUGGAGCAACGCCGCGUGAGCGAUGAAGGCCUUCGGGUCGUAAAGCUCUGUUGUUAGGGAAGAACAAGUACCGGAGUAACUGCCGGUACCUUGACGGUACCUAACCAGAAAGCCACGGCUAACUACGUGCCAGCAGCCGCGGUAAU
This 194-nucleotide ribosomal RNA is filed under the name uncultured bacterium. RNAcentral describes it as "partial 16S ribosomal RNA". It matches the Rfam family "Bacterial small subunit ribosomal RNA", at positions 338 to 524 of the family's 1533-position model. The record is from RNAcentral.